GAACGUGUUUGUUCUUUUCCCGGCUAUGCCGCCUCCUGUGGUGCUCUUCUCCUCCCGGACACCCAUCCUUCUCAUCCCAGACUCCGAUCCGCCGGCGGUGGAACUGGACUUCCCCUGCGUCCUAGUGCUUCUUCGUUCGAGAUCGAGCGGCCUCGAUCGGGGCUAAGGCGGCGGAUCGAUACGCGACGCCGAACGAGAGUGCCCAAAGGAACCUCGCGGGCUUAAAGGUGAGCUAGGAAUUAUUUGGGUCAGAGUCAUCCAGCUUUAGGCCAGUGAGAUCUCAUUAGCAUCAAGUCGUGACUCAUGACAACUACUUCCAUCAACAAACCAUACAAUCUUUGAUAUGACCGUGCAUUUACUCAGUGUAAUACAUGGGGCAUGCAUAGAGAGCUUUCAAUCAUGCAUGACACACAUGAUUUCAGCUUUGCGUCUAAAACAUGACUCCAUGCGCAUCAAGAAAAUCCACCAACAACUGCAGUCUACAGCGACGUAUUACUUGCUGCCGAAACCCAGUGGCUGUCAGGGAAUAAAAAUAGCAAGUGUUUUAGUAGCAAUUGCAAAAAUCUAACAUGUACCAAAAGGAAAUAUCCCAAUCUACUAAGUAUGAGGAGGCCAAGACUUGCAUCACCGAAAGUGUAGAGAUCAGAUUCUUAACUUGGGUUGUCCUCUUCUUUCAAAAAGUAUACCUGUUCAU
This is a long non-coding RNA of Musa acuminata AAA Group (dessert banana), 694 nucleotides long. RefSeq lists it as uncharacterized. The transcript has 3 exons. The record is from RefSeq and is a predicted model, not a curated record. NCBI's taxonomy places the organism in Eukaryota, Viridiplantae, Streptophyta, Magnoliopsida, Zingiberales, Musaceae.